CGAAACGCCUCGGCUUUUCUGCGGACCCGCGCCCGGCCGCUGCCGCCGGACGCUUGAAAAGAGGCAGAGUCUUGCUUUGUUGUCCAGGCUGGUCUUGAACUUCUGAGCUCAAGUGAUCCUCCCGCCUUGGCCUCCCAAAGUGCUGAGACUACAGAGAGAGAAUGCUAACGAGCUGUGAAAUGACCAAAGAUCUGGCAGCAGAAGGGAAAAGAAAAAAUAAUGGAAUAUUUUCUGUCUACAAUUGGUUGAAUCUGUGGAUGUGGAAACUGCAGAUACAGAUGGAGAGCCGACUAUACUAGCUUUUUGUUUCAUUUUUCACUUCUGGAAGAAGAGGAUUUAUCUGACUCAACUGGAGAUGGCUCCCUUCCCUUAUUUAUUGUUGCAUCCUGAAGCUUCCCCCAUGCUGGGCUCAGUGUGAACAAACAGCGCGGGAGAAUGCAACCACUGCAGAGGCAUAUGUUUGAGAUACCUGGCCACUGGAGGUCAUCUCGUCUACUAUAUUCACCGCAGAUAAAGAAUGAAAAGAGAAUACACAACCUUGUGAUUGCUAGCAGUGAAAGCUCAGAGUUAUGACAUAACAAGUGGUUGAUCAUACUGUAAAACUCAAAUGUGAAGGGAAGGCUGGAACCUACUGGAAACUGAAGAUCUAACGAAAAGAAGGAACUUUUAGGAACUAGCAGAGACUUCAAAAUGUUGAGAACUCUCUUUUUUCAUAAGAGAAGAUAAAAACUCUGAUGGUCACACUCAUAAAGACAAAAAACAAAUAAAAAACAAACAAAAACUCAGAAUCACAAGAGCAAAGAAAAUGUAGGUAAAACAAUAACAGAAGAGGUAAAGAAAUUUAUGUGAAUUGGGACACUCUGGGGCACAGAACAGAAGAGGAGAAGAAACAUGAAAGUAAUGCUCUGCACAAGGAUGUCUGACUGUCCUUGAUUCCAAGGGCAUUUAAAAUUAGCCACUGGAUGAGAACCAUGAAAUGCCAUGACUCUUACAGCUCCCAUGAAAGACAUUGGAUGGAACUUAUCCUAACUGGACCAAAUUCUAAAAAAUUUUACAUGAUAUUAUAAUGAGUUGAAAGUUGAAAAAAAAAAGCUCUUCUAGAUUACCAAGAAUAAAACACAAAUUUCUAGCUGACUGAAUUAAUUCUCAUCUCUCUAUAGAAAGAUCAUAGAAAUUUUUUUUAUCAUGCAAAGAAAUAGCUAAAAAUUUACAAAAAUAUAGACGUGCAUUAGGCAGCUCAUGAAUAAAUGCGUUUUUUCCUUUUUUCCUCCAGAAUUUUGUGAUGUUUAUGGUACUUUUCGGCUUUUAAAAUUUUGUAUUUAAUCAGGAUUUAUUACUUCAUUGUAAGUAAAUAUUAAAUUUGUACUCCAUCUUUGUUUGUAAUUUUGUAUAUUUUUCAGUAAAAAGGACUCCCCAGAUUAUGUAAGCUUUAGGCCCCACAAAAUCUAGGCCUGUUGCUGUAUCCUUUCUAGAGCAGUGUUUCUCAAACUUCAAUGUGCAUUUGAAUCUCCUGGGGCUCCUGUUAAAAUAUAGCUUCUGAGAUGAUGCAUUUCUAACAGACUCCCAGGGCUGACACUGCCCAUCUGGGGACCACACUUUGAGAAUCAAAUAUCUAGAACAAUGGUUCUUACCUGGCUGUGCAUUGGGAUCAUUUAUAGUGCUUUUGGAAAAUACAUUGUGUCCAGGUCCCACCCAGUUCUCAGUAGGCUUGGAAUGGGGUCCUACACUUUUUUUUUUUAACUCCACAGUUUGGGAAAGAAGCCUUUUCAUAUAUUGUUGGUGGGAAUACAAAUUGAUACAGCCAUUUUUGAGCUUGAUUUGGCAAUAUCUUCCUUGGAGAAAUCAAAAGCCAGUUGGCAAGCCAGUCUGGAAAAGGCAGUUUACUGAUUCCCACCCGAGGGUCACAAAGCAGGUAUAGAAGGAUGGGCUUUGGCUGAAAUAUAUGAUGGGUACAGGUAUAUUCUCUAUAAUCCAGUAUUUCCACUGCUGAAAACGUAUCCUAGUAACAUUAUACAUAUCAAGCCUACAUAUAAAGUUGGUCAAUUCCAUAUUAUUUGUAGUAGGGGAAAACUGAAAGCAGUCUACAUGCCCAUCAAUAGAUUAUUCAAAUUAUGGAACAGUUUUCCAAUGACAAAACAAUAGCUAAUCUUAGUUAAGCAAUUAUUAUGUUAUGUAAGGUAGACAUUGUUCUACCUUAUUUAUAAGUAUUAAGUUAGUUUUUAUAACUAUCAUAUUUCCAUUUUACAAAUGACAUAAUUUAUAUUAUUGACAUGGGAAGAUGUCCAAGGAUAUAAUAAGCAAAAAGCAAGUAGCAAAACAUUAUGUAUAUUAUGCAUUACCAUUAUAAUAUACUAAAAAGUAAUGCACUUGAUUCUGAUGCACACUCCCCAGUAGGUAACAACUUAUCUAGUGUAAAAAUGAAAGAACAUUCUGGGCCGGGCACGGUGGCUCAUGCCUGUAAUCCCAGCACUUUGGGAGGCCCAGGUGGGCGGAUCACAAGGUCAGGAGAUCGAGACCAUCCUGGCUAACAUGGUGAAACCCCGUCUCUACUAAAAAUACAAAAAAAAAAUUAGCUGGGCGUGGUGGCCGGCGCCUGUAGUCGCAGCUACUCGGGAGGCUGAGGCA
Molecule: long non-coding RNA, 2625 nt
Filed under: Homo sapiens (human)
Lineage: Eukaryota; Metazoa; Chordata; Mammalia; Primates; Hominidae
Description: MAP4K3 divergent transcript
Source: RNAcentral